Molecule: ribosomal RNA, 497 nt
Filed under: uncultured bacterium
Lineage: Bacteria
Description: partial 16S ribosomal RNA
Rfam family: Bacterial small subunit ribosomal RNA
Source: RNAcentral
GAUGAACGCUGGCGGCGUGCCUAAUACAUGCAAGUCGAGCGAACAGACGAGGAGCUUGCUCCUCUGACGUUAGCGGCGGACGGGUGAGUAACACGUGGAUAACCUACCUAUAAGACUGGGAUAACUUCGGGAAACCGGAGCUAAUACCGGAUAAUAUAUUGAACCGCAUGGUUCAAUAGUGAAAGACGGUUUUGCUGUCACUUAUAGAUGGAUCCGCGCCGCAUUAGCUAGUUGGUAAGGUAACGGCUUACCAAGGCAACGAUGCGUAGCCGACCUGAGAGGGUGAUCGGGCAAACUGGAACAGAGACACGGGCCAGACUCCUACGGGAGGCAGCAGCAGGGAAUCUUCCGCAAUGGGCGAAAGCCUGACGGAGCAACGCCGCGUGAGUGAUGAAGGUCUUCGGAUCGUAAAACUCUGUUAUUAGGGAAGAACAAAUGUGUAAGUAACUAUGCACGUCUUGACGGUACCUAAUCAGAAAGCCACGGCUAACUACGUG